AACGUAGGAGACAAACGUUAUCCGGAGUUACUGGGCGUAAAGGGCGCGUAGGCGGCCUGCUAAGUCGGAUGUGAAAUCCCUCGGCUCAACCGAGGAACUGCAUCCGAUACUGGCGGGCUUGAAUCCGGGAGAGGGAUGUGGAAUUCCAGGUGUAGCGGUGAAAUGCGUAGAUAUCUGGAGGAACACCGGUGGCGAAGGCGGCAUCCUGGACCGGUAUUGACGCUGAGGCGCGAAAGCUAGGGGAGCAAACGGG
Molecule: ribosomal RNA, 253 nt
Filed under: uncultured bacterium
Lineage: Bacteria
Description: partial 16S ribosomal RNA
Rfam family: Bacterial small subunit ribosomal RNA
Source: RNAcentral